UACUAAGGAUGUAUUGCCAUUAGUAAUAUCAAAAGGAUUGAAUGUUACAGAGGUAGCUCAUGACAAUUCACCGCCUGUAACAUCAUAUAUUGUUGAAGAGUUAAAGCU
Molecule: long non-coding RNA, 108 nt
Organism: Amphimedon queenslandica
Lineage: Eukaryota; Metazoa; Porifera; Demospongiae; Haplosclerida; Niphatidae
Exons: 2
Source: RefSeq, a predicted model, not a curated record